GGGGGGGGGGGGGGGGGGGGGUGGGGGGGGGGGGGGGUGGGGUGGGGGGGUGGCGGGGGUCGGCGGGUGGCGCGCGGGUGCGUAGGACGUGGGUAGCCUGCCCACAACUUUGGGAUAACGCGGGAAGACUGGGGCGACUACUGGAUAUGUGUGCCUGCUGCAUUGUGGGGUUUGCACAGCUCCGGCGGUUUGUGAUGGACUCGCGGCCUAUCCGCUCGGUGGUGGGGUAGUGGCCUACCAAGGCGGCGACGCGUAGCCGGCCUGAGAGGGUGACCGGCCACAUUGGGACGGAGAUACGGCCCAGACUCCUACGGGAGGCAGCAGGGGGGAAUAUUGCACAAUGGGCGCAAGCCUGAUGCAGCAACGCCGCGUGCGGGAUGACGGCCUUCGGGUUGUAAACCGCUUUCAGCAGGGACGAAGCUUUUUGUGACGGUACCUGCAGAAGAAGCACCGGCUAACUACGUG
Molecule: ribosomal RNA, 465 nt
Filed under: uncultured bacterium
Lineage: Bacteria
Description: partial 16S ribosomal RNA
Rfam family: Bacterial small subunit ribosomal RNA (bases 50-465)
Source: RNAcentral